UUUUUUUUUUUUGUUUUUUUUUUUUAAGGGGGGCGAAAAGGGAGAGAGGUAGGGCCUCUUAACGCCCAAAGAAAACUUCAACAAAUUUGAUAUUUCUCCUCACAUUUUUUUAGUAGACAUUUAACAUUUUUCCUCAUAAGUUUCAAUUUUUCUGAAAGACACAUAGUGAUUUGUAUCAAAGGAAUCUUAAAACUAUCAUAAUUUAAAACUUACCAACAUCUUUUAGGAGAGAAGAGAAAGCCCUUGUUAAACUUCUGUGAGAGAUUUUACAUCGAUAUUUUAGUUCUUCGAAUUUGUUAUUUCCAUCUUGUGUCUCUCAUAGAAUUUUAUCCUAAAACAUUAUUUUGUAGUUCGUCUUUUCUUAAGCUUCCUACCAUGUUUCUCUGUGCUAAAUACAGGUAUAAACAUGGAAAUCUGAUGUAUGUUAUUUCCUUUGACCUCAAAUCUAUAUUAAAAAUACUUCUUACAGGUUGUGUUAUAUCUGCGUCUACUUGUACAAAAUCAAUCAAGGCAUAAUAUAGAUAAUAACUUGAAAAACCCUUUAAUAAAUAAUGUAAUGGAAGUAAAUGUGUAAUUUGUCAUUCUUUCUCCUCCAUGAAAUCAUACACAAGACCACCUUGAUUGAUUCAGGUUUUCCAAUUGUUCCCACAAUGGGAAUCCAGAAGGAGAGAGCAUUUUUACACCCCAGGUCAAUGUGCCACAGUCAAAUGAGUCUUAACUUAUCAGAAACAUCUUAAUUUAUCAAGUAGAAGAGUGAGAUUUUUUUCCACAGAAGGUGAGAGUGUGGGACUUGUGUGCCAUGCUUCUACGGCAGACAGAUUCUCAGGCAGAUUUUAGAAAGUUUUUCCUUAGGAAAGGCAAAAUAUGUAAGAUCUAGAAACAGAUUUAGUUCAACUGUUUGAACACAGCUUAACAAUGGAAUUCUUUAUAACAUGCGCCAAGGUUGUUUCCGAUGCCUUGAUCCCUUGGUUACUUGUCCAACACACUUCAGCUGCUCCACUCCGCUUCUCACAAAUAGUUUUUCAAAGAUGAGAAUGGUUUCUUUUCUUUCCUUCUUUUUUCCUGUGUCUUUUUUCUUCCUCCUCCUAGCUCACUCCUUUUCUCGGCCUUUUUUCAGUCCUCUUGAGAACCAGAUGGUUCCAGGAGGGCCCUUCCCACCCCAAGUCUAACUCUUUCCCAAUCUGCCAAGUAUUCAGUCUCUGAACUCGCUUCUUCAAAAGCUUGUCUGGGUUUACCAGAGGAGCUGCAGAGGAAACCCAGGAGCCAGGGGAGCAAAGCCUUGAGGAAACACUUGCUUGAGAUGAACCUAUCAAAAAUCUCUCAGAUUCUCCUUUGCCAGCAAGGAAGCCAGAUUUUCAGAAUUCCACUUCUGAUUGGAUAACAUCUGGAUGCAUUUUGACAGGGACUGGGAGUUCUUGUGUUUGAAAACAGGAUUCUUAUUUUGGGAGCUGGUCUCAGGGAAUAGGCUUUUGGAAGCCUCUGCACACCAAGGCCCCUGUUGUUUGUGACUGCCUCUGUACAGUACCCUCCAGGGAUUGCACUGCUAGAUGCCACAUAAGAACUUCACUCCAAAAACAAAAAACAAACAAAAAAAACUUCACUCCAUACAGAAGUAACUAGAAACUACAAAAAUAUUGCCCACAAAGUCCAAAUUUUAAAUGUCUCCUAUUUAACUUCCCUCCAAAUGUUUGCAGUGCCUCCUCUGAUAGAAAGGGGCAGGGGAAUUCCUAACUCUUUCAUGUCCUCUCUUGCCUUUGGACUUUGAGGUUGCAUUUCCCCUGGAAUUCCUUCCCCUUUUCCUAUUUGCCAGUUCCUACUUGUCCUUUCGAUCUCAGUUCAGAUAUUACACACUACCUCCUUCUGGAAGCUUUUGCUUACUCCUUAGGUCUGGUUUAGAAGCUCCUGGAAUAUACACAGGAUCCUGAGAUUAUUUCAAUCCUAUUAACAGUGUUUAUUACACAUUGUAUUAUAACUAUCUCUUGUGUGAGUUUUUCACUAGCAAGUUCAGGGCUCAGUCCUUAAAUAUCAAUAUAUGCAAGUAUCUUUCCAUCUUGGACUGCAUCUUUAAACUCCAAAUUCACAUAUGCAGCUGCCUUCUCAACAAGUAUUUUAUACUUAACAUUGUCAAAAACUGAAUUCCUGAUCUUUGUCCCAAACUUUCUCACGGAUCUUCCCCAUCUCAAUAAAUAACUGUCCCAUUUGUGCAAUUAUCUGUGAAUCCUUGCUUUGGCUCACAUCGUACAUCUCAUCUAUCAGCUCAACCUUCAAAAUAUAUCUGUAAUCCAGCCAGUUGUAGUACUUUCAUUGUUAUCAUAUAGAAAUCUAUCAUUAUCUCUCAGGUAGAUUAUUGCAAUAGACCCCUCACUGGUCUCCCUGUUUCUAUUAACCUUGCUCCUUUCCUGUCUACUCUAUAAACAAAGGAGUAGUGAAAAAUUCUCCAAGGGUUCAAAAUUCUUCAAGAGUGUCCCUCUUGUUCAGUAAUGUUGGAGGCAUGAAUAUGCGACACGACAAAGAAUGGAAAGAAAAGACUGGCGCCAUAGAGUGGCUGUAGAAGGUCAGUCUAUACAAAGUCUUAUGACUCUCUCAUGACACCUGAGGCGAAAUGAAUGAGAACAACAUCAAAGAAUGGCAUCUGGAAAACAAGAUUGCUGAAGCACAGAUGUUGUUCAUGGAAAACCAUCAGCGCUGACAUUCUCAGGACUGGAGCCUUGGGAGAUUUUUGGGAGCGGCCAUAGAUGGCUUGAAGCAAACAACAAAUUAUGGCCUGGGAGGGCUAAAACAUUUAUGAUUACUUUAUGUGCUUAGGAAUGACUGUCCUACCAUAUCUUGCUUCCAAUCUGUUUGAAGUAAAAUUCCAAUGUAUCCCCUGCAUGUACAAGGAAGUAGAAAAUAGUAAAUAAAAACCAUGAGUUGGCUCAGAGGGUUGCUAUUGCUUCUUGAAGGCUGUAACCCCCGAUCCCCACUCUAUUUCUGUGUCUCUUCCCUCUUAUUUCUGUGGCACCACUGACUUCGGGACCUGGGUUGACGAGCAGGCCUUGUCACAGUAAAAAAGCCAAAGUGCUUCUAGUGGCCUGCAAGAGUCCUCCCCUCCUCUCUAGCUCCUUGCUCUUCCUAAACAAGUCAGACACACUCUACCUCAGUCCUUUGCACACACUGUUUCCUCUGCCUGAUAAUAGCCUUUUCCAAACAGGCACCUAAUUCAUUUCUUCAUAUCCUUCAGGUCUGCUCAAAUAUCACUUUCUCACUUAAGUCUUAUCUGUUCAACAUAUUUAAAAUUACAAAACAUUAAAAAGAAAAAAAACCCCAGCUAUCCCUAUUAUAUUUUCUGCUUUAUUUUUCUUUAUUUAUACUUAUUGCCAUCUACUACACUUAUAUUUUACUUUUUCAUUGGUCUGCAUUUCCCAUUAGAAUGCAAACUCCAUGAAAAUAGACUUUUAUUAGAGUCCCCUUGUGGUGAAGUGGAUUAAAGAUCUGGCAUUGUCACUGCAGUGCUCCGAUUGCUACUGUGGUGCAGGUUUGAUUCCUGGUCCGGGAGCUUCCACAUGCCACAAGUGCAGCCAAAAAAAAAAAAGACAAGAAAAUAAAAUAGAGAGUUUUGCCCAUUUCGUUCACAGAUAUAGUCUCAGUAUCUACAAGAGUGUAUGUCAAACAGCAGCUACUCAUUAACAAUUUGUUGAAUGGUCUACCAGAGUACAAUAAAUGCUUUUCCAUAGGUGGAUGUAUAAGCAAAUUUCAAGAGUUUAACCCUCAGAAGGGAGAGGAAUAGUCUGUUCAUAGGCAAAGAUUCUGGAUUCCAUUAAUAUAGCUCCCUGUUGUGGUUGUGUAUACAAACCUGACUGAGUUGCUAAUGAUAGUCCCUUCAUUUAAUUAUGUGACCCAUCAUGGCUAGUUAAUGUUUGUGCAAAGACUUAAAGCUUGACCCUAUUAGGACCUGAGACUUCUAAUCCUACUUGGAGAGCUGCAGAUGUUCAUCUGUGUAAUCACUAGUUGUUCCACUUUCCAAACCUUCAAAUGUCCUGGAAUAAACCCUGACUCCUGAGCAACUGGAACUAAGAAUGGAUGAAGAUAAACACAUGAGGUCUAAGGUAGUGGGACUCUAAAGAAGAUAUAGUUUCCUGUAAGAGUUCUGAGUAGCACAUUUAAGAAAUUUUAUUUAUCUGGUUGUUUUGUAUUUUGAAAAGGCAUUACACUCAUAGAGUUCAAAAGAAGUAUAAAUAGUUAUAAAAUUAAAGUUCCCCUCCCAUUCUAUUACUCACCUACUUUUAUUCCUACUCUUUUAUCCAUCAUCUACAGGUUUCUACUAUUAUUAAUUUAUUAUUUAUCCUCUGGAGUUUAUCAAUUUGCAUAUAAGUAUAUAUAUUCUGAGUCUUGUUUUUGACACCUCACAAUAUAUUUUGGGAAUCUUUACACAUUGAUAACAUGGAAAGCUGUUGUCUUUGCUUAGUUUUACAUUUUGUUGUGGAAUAAAGCAUGCAGAGAAAUAAAUAAAACCUUAUUUCUACAGCUUAAUGAGUAAUUAUAAAGUGAACACCCAUUUAGCCAUUACUCAGGAAAAAAAAAAAAAAGAGUGGAGUUCCCGUUGUGGUGCAGUGGAAAUGAAUCUGACUAGGAACCAUGCAGGUUUUGAUCCCUGGCCUCGCUCAGUGGGUUAAGGAUCCAGCAUUGCCAUGAGCUGUGGUGUUGGCCAGCAGCUACAGCUCCAAUUAGACCCCUAGCCUGGGAACCUCCAUAUGCUGUGGGUGCAGCCCUAGAAGACAGAAAGG
RNAcentral lists this long non-coding RNA (4763 nucleotides) under Sus scrofa (pig). Its description in RNAcentral is "lncRNA (ENSSSCG00000059172.1)". The record is from RNAcentral. Lineage: Eukaryota; Metazoa; Chordata; Mammalia; Artiodactyla; Suidae.